UACGGAGGGUGCAAGCGUUAUCCGGAUUCACUGGGUUUAAAGGGUGCGUAGGUGGACAUUUAAGUCAGUGGUGAAAUCUUUGGGCUUAACCCGAAAACUGCCAUUGAUACUAUUUGUCUUGAAUUCUCUGGAGGUAAGCGGAAUAUGUCAUGUAGCGGUGAAAUGCUUAGAUAUGACAUAGAACACCCAUUGCGAAGGCAGCUUACUACGGAGACAUUGACACUGAGGCACGAAAGCGUGGGGAUCAAACAGG
RNAcentral lists this ribosomal RNA (253 nucleotides) under uncultured bacterium. RNAcentral's name for it is "partial 16S ribosomal RNA". It matches the Rfam family "Bacterial small subunit ribosomal RNA", at positions 524 to 776 of the family's 1533-position model. RNAcentral also lists the same sequence under 1 other name. The record is from RNAcentral.